This is a long non-coding RNA of Dermochelys coriacea (leatherback sea turtle), 2653 nucleotides long. RefSeq lists it as uncharacterized. NCBI's taxonomy places the organism in Eukaryota, Metazoa, Chordata, Testudines, Dermochelyidae. The record is from RefSeq and is a predicted model, not a curated record. The transcript is spliced from 3 exons.
CCUUUAUGUAGACCCAGUCACCUGGUUUUAACAAAUGGCAGGUUUGCUCAGGAUCCUUGGAGCAGGUCUUCUUUCACCUGUAAAUACAGAGACCUAACGCAUUUCAUUAAUGUCUGGCAGUGUUUUGCAGAUCUCACAGCUGCUUGGACACAUUCAAGCCCCCCUCUUUCUUGGCUGUCAGCCAAAUCCUAGCUGUGACUAGUGUCCUUGGGCAGGCCAGUGUCUUAUCUUUGGACCGAGCCUGCCAGCUACAGCGUUGAAUUAACUUGUCCUCCGUUCUUUUUCUUUUCCCCUUCUUGGCUUCUAUUAACCUGUAAAGGAAACUUUCACUUUCCACUCACACACCUUUGUUCAAAAAUGAACACAUAUACAUUGCCUAUUAUACAGCACUUUAGUCUUAUUGUUCAAUGUAUGCCACGUACACACUUCUAGUAAAAUGAUUUUAUUAGGGAGCUUUGGAGCAACAAGCCAGGACAAGCACACUCACUUUUGAGGAGUCCACUUGGUACAACCUCUGGUGUCCAAUAGCUUUCCUUCCUCCCCAGCCCUCUGGCUAGAAAUUUGAGGUAGCCAGAAGGAUCCCAUGUGUAAUAUGAGGAGUGGGUUAACCUUUCAUGUCCUUGCUUUCAAAGACUGUUGGUGUGCGGAUUUUAACAACAAUUUUUUUAAUUAAAAGAUCUGGCCAAUGACAUUUAUUUUUUUUACUUAAUCAAAUGUAUUAAACUUUAGUAUAUCACAUUUUUUUAUAUUAUUCAAACACUUUGUAUUCCAAGUUGAAUAAAACAAGUAUCUGCACUCCUCUUCUGUUUAGUUUUAAAUUAAACUGUCCUAUGAAAAAUUAGACAGCAAUUCCGGCCACAAGACAAACGCAAGACAGAACAUAGAACACAGAACAUAAUUUCUAUUGUGCCGGUAAAUUCAUGAUAUGUUGAAUUGCUUUUCAGCUGGCAUCAGUUUUCUCUCAUUUUCUAAAAGACAAAAAGAACAUAGAUCUACCCCUUCUGGGCAGUCAGUCAUUGCUUAAAAUAUUUCCUUUUUAUACAAAUAUUCUUGUUAAUUGCAGGCAAAACAGAGGAAUUACCCAUAUUUUCUUGUAUUUGUUUCGUAGGCAGCCCAGGUUUCAAUGGCUUCUACCUUAUUAGUUAGGUAAUUUACAUUAAAAUAAAUGCUUUUCAGCUUGCUUUUGGAUCCACAGCUUAAAGAUUCUUACUUUAAAAAGGGCACAAUAAACUUUACCAGACUUUUGAUUGCCUUUUACUUUUAACUCCUGCUGUCAAACACACAGUGACCUGAAAAGGAAGACACCACCUAUUGUAACCCCUUGGAGCCUAAUAAAAUAUUAAUUAAGUAGCACUGUAUAAUUGCAUUCCUUUGAAAAAGGGACCGUUUUCCAUAAAAUGACUGCAAAGAAACCAAGUAUUUUUUUCUUUUUAGUAUUUCACAAAGUUCAACUGCUUAAUUCCCUCCAGCAACUACAGAGUUAACUUCUUACUUUCCUUUCUUAAAUUACUUGCUUAUUUCCCAAAACGACACCAAUCAACUCAGAUUUUACCAUUCCAAGUAUUAUUCCGGAAUUUACAUUUCCCAUUCCUGUAAUUAUUUACUCCUCUUUUUUUUUUUUUUUCACUAUGCCCUCCAAGUUUCCAACCUGUUUUCCAAUCUCUUUAUCUGUUGCCUGCCCGCUUGGGCCCAAUCCUGUUUUUCUCUCUGAACUGUCCCUUCCAUGAGCACCAGCUUUGUCCCACUACCCAUUUAACAAGGAGGGUGGGCUUCUAAACUAGCCCCCAGCUCUCCUGGUCUCUUCUCUUAAAUAUUCUCACUCACAAGGGCUACCCGAGUCCUCCCCCAUGAGGCUUGUCACCCGGACAGAACGCACGGCUAAUUGGCUUGUAACUGGUCCUGGGCAUAGGUCAGAAAGCCGAGGGUAAGCCAGAGGAGGGGUAGAAGCAGGCAUAGCACAGAGCGGGGCUGGAGACCCCUGAGAUAAAUAAGAAAAGGAGGAGGAAAGAGGACGUCCUUACGCAUGCACAUAAGCCCAGUUGUCCGAUACAUACCAAUAAUCAGUCUGGGCUGGAGCUUUGUCCUCCAGUCUUUUCCUAAGUGCUGUUAAUUUGUCCCCAGCAAAGGACCCAUCCAGUGGCCAUUCGAGAGGUCUUUGAGUUGUUAGUGCUGGCCACUCAACCUUGCACAAGAUUACAGCUUUCCUUUUACCUAACCCAUGGGUACCAGAAAUAUUCCUCCAAUUCUCGAGAAUUUCAGCCAAAGGGGUCCCCCUACUUACACUCUGCCCAGAACCCAUAAUGGGCUACCAAAAAGACACCAAAUGUGCUACCUUAUUGCCUAAGCGACAGCCCACACUCCCGCUCCUCGGAGUACUCAAAGGUGAACUCACCCUGUGCUGGCUGGAGCUGUCCGACAGGAGGAGUGUGGUCUCGCUCGUCGGGGUGAGCCUAGCGUCCCAUCUGGGGUGCCAAAAACUGUUGCGAAUUAUAUCUGAUAGGUCAUGCACAAGAACUGCUACGAAUUAUACCUAAUAGGUCACACACACUUCGAGUCUAGGCUGAGGCACACAAACAAAGUCCACAACUGCAGAGUUCAAAAGAUACUAAGUUUAUUACGCUCGAGCGUGGUGCCCCCUUGCUAGUCAGGAGGG